ACACAAGAGAUAGCCUGACCAGACAGGGCUUCCAUCCAGCAGUGCCCAUGCCUAGAUAUACCUGGCGCACCGCACAACAUCCCAGCCCACACAAGGCCCUGCUACCUCCAUCCAACAUACUGCUAGACUGACCCUACUGAAUCCACAUUCCCACAUAUUACCCUGACUCAUAUCACCUAGAUCAUGACAGACACCAGAUGUGGCCUUGAACCACACCUCUGAACCUCCAAUCUACCAUUCUCUCUUGCCUCCUGACUCCAGGCAGGGGGCUCACAAGUUAGCAGAGCAGGGCCUAACCCAAUUACAUAGCCAUAGACUGCUAUGGGUUGUGUUUCUACAGAAGUCAAAUGUUGAAGUCCUAACUUCCACUAUUUCAGAAUAUGACUGUUUUUGAGAUAGGGCCUUUAAAGAGGUGAUUAAUGCUAAAUGGGAUCACAAGGGUGGUAUCUAAUCCAAUAUAAAUGCUGUCCUUAUAAGAAAAGGAGAUUAGGACACAAACAGAGAAGGACCAGUGAAGACACAGAGAAAAUGGCUGUCUACAAGCAAAGGAGAGAGGCCUCAGAAGGAGCCAACCGUACUGACACCUGGAUCUCAACCAUCUAGCCUCCAGAAUGGAACGUCUAUCCUAUGCCUGCACCACCACUGCAUUUUGGAAGCACAAAACUUGUCUGGUUCCAUGCUUCACAACUGAAGAAGAAUUUUGCCUUGGAAUGACUCAUACUUCACCUCCCUCAUGCUUGACUUAGAUGCGUUCAGAUGAGAUUUUGAUUUUGAGUUGAUGCUGGAAUGGGUUAAGAUUACGGGCUGUUAGGAAGGAGUAAGUUUAUUUUGCAUGUUAGACGGUAAUUAAUUGUGGGAAGCCAGAGGGCAGAAUGUCAUGGUCUGAAUUGAGUCCCCUCACCAAAUCCAUGUAUGUUGAAAUCCUAACCCCUAGUACUUCACAAUGUCACUGUAUUGAAAUGGUAUCUUUGAAAGGUAAAAUGAGGUUGUUAUGAAGGGCCCAAUCCAAUGUGACCAGAGUAUCUACAAGCCAAGAAAAGAGGCCUAAGGAGAAACCAACCAAGUGACUCCUUGAUCUUGGAAUUUCAGACUCCAGAAGUCUGAGAAAAUAAAUAUCUGCUGUGAAGUUA
Molecule: long non-coding RNA, 1130 nt
Organism: Homo sapiens (human)
Lineage: Eukaryota; Metazoa; Chordata; Mammalia; Primates; Hominidae
Source: Ensembl